Anastrepha ludens (Mexican fruit fly) is the source of this 2121-nucleotide RNA transcript. RefSeq lists it as uncharacterized. Lineage: Eukaryota; Metazoa; Arthropoda; Insecta; Diptera; Tephritidae. The transcript is spliced from 9 exons. The record is from RefSeq and is a predicted model, not a curated record.
ACAAAUAAAUUUGUUUUUUUGUUCGAGUUAUAGAGCUUUAAUAUUGUUCGAGUUACAAACUAGUCAAUAGGGAAAAAAAUGUGUUCGAGUUAGCACGUCGUUCGACUUAGCGGCUAUUCGAGUUACCGCGAGUGCACUGUAUAAUAUAUACUUAUGCGCAAACAUGGCAUUCGAUGCAUAUGUUAACGUAUAUAAAAGGUAGCAUACCGGAAUGCAUAAACCCACUUAAUCGAGAAGAGAAAUGAUAUUAUAAGAGAGAAAGAGGGAGGAAAAAGAUACAUCGUGGAAUGUAUAAUGCAUAUUUUAAAGCCGGUACAUGAAUAUACAUUACAAUUUCCGACUGGAUAUAUGUAUAUAGUAUAAACAUUAACAUAUGUACGUUUUUUUAGCCAGUCUAAUUGUGGGAUUGUAAUCACAGCAAGUCACAAAAUGUGUGUUACUGUCGUAUAAUCUUUCUAAACCCUUAGUGAAUGCCAAACUAGGAAGCAUAAUUAUACGCAACUAUGUACAUACAUAGGCAUACAUAUUUUUUGGGCCGCUGUGUAUUCGAAAUGGUUUCUUCGAUGUAUUGUGUUGGAAGCACUGCACGCAUAUUCCGUUUACUGACGGGAGCGUCAAAUAUUAACUUUCCGCAAUAUUACAACGUGAAUAAAUCAAUAAACGUCAACACCGUUACAGUCCUACCAACAGGAAAUAAUAAUUCAACAGCAGUAGUAGCAGCGCCACCAGUAACCGACAUAUCCUUUGGUGCUAACUGCGGCACCAAAGUCAUUACGUCACUAGUUUUUAACUGUGGGUACUCCACUAAUUUAAACAGGCAUUUUCUUAACGCUCAGCAGACCAAUUGCAGACAUUUUUCAAGUCUACAGAUACCAUUGCAGUUCGAGCCUACUAAAUUAAUACAUCAAACAACAAUGGCGACUUGGAAAAAUCGUCGUUUCCUUUCAACUAAAGAAAUCACUAAAAAUAUGACAUUUUUCACAAAUGAACCAUUCAACAGCGAAGUGGACCCAAAGACGCUUGAAUUCAAGAAACCUUCCAGAAACCCACUUGUUUUAAUUAUGGCGUGGCUAAUGGCAAGUCAAAAACAUCUAAGGAAGUAUGCUCAAAUCUAUACUGAUAUGGGAUUCGAUGUUAUGGCCGUACACGUUACACCGUGGCAGCUUCUUUGGCCAGUUAAGGGAACACAGGUUGUCGCUGCAGAUACGCUUAAAUUUAUGGAAAUCAACAAAUCUUAUGCGCCAAUUGUUAUUCAUGGAUUUUCAGUGGGUGCUUAUCAAUUGGGCGAAGUGAUGUUACAAAUGGCUCGUGACAUGGAACGUUACUCACAAGUAUUGGAUAGAAUUGCUUGUCAAAUUUGGGAUAGUGCUGCUGAUAUUACAGAAAUCCCAAUUGGCGUGCCAAAGUCGAUAUUUCCGAAAAAUCCCCGCAUGCAAAGUGCACUACGUAACUAUAUGUUAUACCACAUGAAGACAUUCCACAAUCAAGCCACAAUCCAUUAUAUGCGAUCCAGCCAAAUGUUUCAUUCUACAUUGGUUAAACAGCCAGCAUUAUUUUUUGUAUCGGAGAAUGAUCCAAUUGGACCACCUUCGUCGAAUCAAGCGGUACGUGAAAAUUGGGAACGCGCCAACAUUAAAGUUUCAUUCAAAUGUUGGGAACGUUCACAGCAUGCAGCACAUUUCGUGAGGCACCGGGAGGAGUAUUUGGAAUGUCUUUUAAAGCACCUUCAAAGUUGCGGGGUAAUCGAGAGCGUUGGCUUAAAAACUCGAGCUAAAUUAUAAAAACAGAAAGGAACUAAAAUGCUAAUAUUACGAAUUUAAAGAAUAUAAUUUAAUAGAAGUUUAUAUGGAAUCAUAUGAGGCAGGCCACAUUAUGCGGCAACGAAACUGCACGACACGACAUUGUUUAGCAAAGUUGACCGACUAUGCAGGGCCUUGGCGCACAGCUCUACUGCCAUAUAGUGCGGCUUAGCAAUCAGCAGUUCCACGGUGUUUAAUUAAAAAUUCUACAAAGAUUUUUGGUGUGCAGUUUUAUAGGUUAAUAAAUUUUAAUAUAGUAAAGUGUAAGUUCGAAGUUGCUUAUAAAUCUCGUUGAUUUUUUAUAAAUUAUUACCUUAAUGGU